Molecule: long non-coding RNA, 1409 nt
Organism: Oreochromis niloticus (Nile tilapia)
Lineage: Eukaryota; Metazoa; Chordata; Actinopteri; Cichliformes; Cichlidae
Exons: 5
Source: RefSeq, a predicted model, not a curated record
UUUAAUGCUACCCCGUUGUCAUAUUUGCAGGAAAAUAGGUAAGUAGUAAGUAUUAGUACUUUUUAUUGACGUUGAUACUUGAGUUUUUUAAGCCUUUGUGAUUGUUUGUCAAUAUUAAAGUAAAGUCGCUAUCUGCUUUCUGCACAAAACUGUCGAAUUUGCAGCUUCGGUGAAGUCUGCUGUCAAGUUACUGGACACGUGGUAUUUGCACAACACUUCUGAAUCCGCAGCUUCGGUGUUUUAAGGCUGUUUCGGUAAUGUCGUUAUUUAAUAAGUUAAAUUAUUUGCAUUGUUAACUGCACAUAUUGAAGCUCAGAAGAAAAUGUUUACUUACAUUCGUAGAUAUGGAGAAGAUGGGAAUUUAUUUCUGCGGGCUCCUACCCUUCAGGAUAUGACAAGGCUCAGAGGCAAAACCUCAGAAGAUAUGCCUCAAAAUUCCAACAAAAGGAUGGAGAACUCUUUGUUGGAACCAGAAGAGUAGUAAAAACCAUGGAUGAUGCCAGGAAGCUAUUUCAUGAGUUUCAUUCAUCUCCAAUUGGAGGACACACUGGCACACACAAAACGCUAAAUGCAGUGUGUUCCAGAUUUUACUGGUUUGGUAUGAUAGUUGACAUUAAAACAUGGAUUCUGGAAUGUGACCAGUGUCAAAAAGUUCGGAAACCACUGACUGCUGUGCAACCGUUGCAGUGUAUUCAGGUGUCUGAAGUGUGGGAACUUAUUGGUAUAGAUCUUACUGGACCUCUUCCUAAAAUGUCAAGCGGCUUCCAGUAUAUACUUACUGCAACUGACUACUUUUCAAAAUGGGUUGAAGCUUUCCCAUUAAAAACGAAAUCUGCAUCUGAGGUAGCCAAUGAGAUGAAAAGACCAAUGACAACAUAAAAAGAGCCCUCCGAAAACUGGUGAAUGACCAGCAGAAUAACUGGGAUCUGUAUCUAGAUCCCACCCUGUUUUCACUGCGGUCAAAAGUACACACCACAACAAAAUAAUCACCUUUUUUUCUGAUGUAUGGAAGAGAGGCAGUAUUUCCAUCAGAAGUGCCUGCUCAAGUGCCGGUGAGUGUUUGUCAAAUUCUUUCUAUGUUAGAACUAAGAAUUGAAACCAUUUAAGUAAAAAACCCAGUAAUGUCUUUAUGAAUAUGAUAUCAUUUGGUUUUAAUUGCUAAUAUCUACAAAAUUUUAGAUUUCCAACAUCAUUCUGCCAGACGACAAAAGGUACAGUGACUAUGUACAGUCUGAAAGUGAAGCACAACAUGCAGUUAAAGAAACUGCACAAGAAAACAUUGCGAAGUCACAAGACAAGCAAAAGGUUGCAUACGCCAAGCGGGUCCUGAAAAAGUACAAAAAUGUUGUGUACAAUGUAGGGGAUCAAAUUCUGCUUCUAAAUAUGAGGAAACAUGGGCGAAAAGGAGG